This 1048-nucleotide ribosomal RNA is filed under the name Stigonema ocellatum CBFS A-029. Its description in RNAcentral is "bacterial SSU rRNA". It matches the Rfam family "Bacterial small subunit ribosomal RNA", at positions 401 to 1467 of the family's 1533-position model. Lineage: Bacteria; Bacillati; Cyanobacteriota; Cyanophyceae; Nostocales; Stigonemataceae. The record is from RNAcentral.
GUGGGGGAGGAAGGCUCUUGGGUUGUAAACCUCUUUUCUCAGGGAAGACUUCGGACGGUACCUGAGGAAUAAGCAUCGGCUAACUCCGUGCCAGCAGCCGCGGUAAUACGGAGGAUGCAAGCGUCAUCCGGAAUGAUUGGGCGUAAAGCGUCCGCAGGUGGCAGUGUAAGUCUGCUGUCAAAGAGUCUGGCUCAACCAGAUAAAGGCAGUGGAAACUACACAGCUAGAGUACGUUCGGGGCAGAGGGAAUUCCUGGUGUAGCGGUGAAAUGCGUAGAGAUCAGGAAGAACACCGGUGGCGAAAGCGCUCUGCUAGGCCGUAACUGACACUGAGGGACGAAAGCUAGGGGAGCGAACGGGAUUAGAUACCCCAGUAGUCCUAGCCGUAAAUGAUGGAUACUAGGUGUUGCUUGUAUCGACCCGAGCAGUACCGUAGCUAACGCGUUAAGUAUCCCGCCUGGGGAGUACGCAGGCAACUGUGAAACUCAAAGGAAUUGACGGGGGCCCGCACAAGCGGUGGAGUAUGUGGUUUAAUUCGAUGCAACGCGAAGAACCUUACCAGGGCUUGACAUGUCGCGAAUUCCGGGGAAACUCGGAAGUGCCUUCGGGAGCGCGAACACAGGUGGUGCAUGGCUGUCGUCAGCUCGUGUCGUGAGAUGUUGGGUUAAGUCCCGCAACGAGCGCAACCCUCGUUUUUAGUUGCCAUCAUUAAGUUGGGCACUCUAGAGAGACUGCCGGUGACAAACCGGAGGAAGGUGGGAUGACGUCAAGUCAGCAUGCCCCUUACGUCCUGGGCUACACACGUACUACAAUGCUCCGGACAGAGGGCAGCGAGCAUGCAAAUGCAAGCUAAUCCCGUAAACCGGAGCUCAGUUCAGAUCGCAGGCUGCAACUCGCCUGCGUGAAGUUGGAAUCGCUAGUAAUUGCAGGUCAGCAUACUGCGGUGAAUUCGUUCCCGGGCCUUGUACACACCGCCCGUCACACCAUGGAAGCUGGUAGUGCCCGAAGUCAUUACCCCAACCUUCGGGAGGGGGAUGCCUAAGGCAGGA